GAUGAAGAACGUAGCGAAAUGCGAUAAGUAAUGUGAAUUGCAGAAUUCAGUGAAUCAUCGAAUCUUUGAACGCACAUUGCGCCCGCCAGUAUUCUGGCGGGCAUGCCUGUUCGAGCGUCAUUUCAACCCUCAAGCUCAGCUUGGUGUUGGGGCCUGCUGCACUGGCAGCCCUUAAAAUCAGUGGCGGCGCCAUCUGGCUCUAAGCGUAGUAAUUCUUCUCGCUAUGGAGUCCUGGUGGAUGCUUGCCAUCAACCCCCAAUUUUUCUAUGGUUGACCUCGGAUCAGGUAGGGAUACCCGCUGAACUUAAGCAUAUCAAUAAGCGGAGGA
This 328-nucleotide unclassified non-coding RNA is filed under the name soil metagenome. Its description in RNAcentral is "partial contains 5.8S ribosomal RNA, internal transcribed spacer 2, and large subunit ribosomal RNA". The stretch from base 1 to 120 matches the Rfam family "5.8S ribosomal RNA", at positions 35 to 154 of the family's 154-position model. The record is from RNAcentral.